AUCACUUCUCAGCCUUUUGGCUAAGAUCAAGUAUAGUACCUUACUCAAACAAGGUAAUUUAAUGAAAUUUAGUUAUUCAAUGUUUGAUAAUAAGAACAGAAUUUUCCUCAUCUACAACGGCUAAUGAAACUUUCAAAUCCUC
This 142-nucleotide small nuclear RNA is filed under the name Myotis brandtii (Brandt's bat). Its description in RNAcentral is "U2 spliceosomal RNA". It matches the Rfam family "U2 spliceosomal RNA". Rfam says of the family: U2 is a small nuclear RNA (snRNA) component of the spliceosome (involved in pre-mRNA splicing). Complementary binding between U2 snRNA (in an area lying towards the 5' end but 3' to hairpin I) and the branchpoint sequence (BPS) of the intron results the bulging out of an unpaired adenosine, on the BPS, which initiates a nucleophilic attack at the intronic 5' splice site, thus starting the first of two transesterification reactions that mediate splicing. The record is from Rfam by way of RNAcentral. Lineage: Eukaryota; Metazoa; Chordata; Mammalia; Chiroptera; Vespertilionidae.